Molecule: RNA transcript, 1924 nt
Organism: Trifolium pratense (red clover)
Lineage: Eukaryota; Viridiplantae; Streptophyta; Magnoliopsida; Fabales; Fabaceae
Gene name: chromo domain-containing protein LHP1-like
Exons: 7
Source: RefSeq, a predicted model, not a curated record
ACAAGAAUGGAUUUUCCAUAGAUUCAUUCAUUCACAACUCACCUUCACUCUCUCUCAUACGCAAUCUUGAAUCCACACAACAAAAUGAACACUUUUCCUGUUUUUGUUUCUGUUUAUGUUUCUAGCUCGGAGAAUACGAUGAUGUUUUUGUUCAAACGUUGUUGCUGAACUUUUUUUUUGGUCAUUUUCUUAAUUUUUUUUGGGUACUUAUAAUGAAGGGUGAAGAAGAGAUGAUGAAGAAGACAACAACAACAACAACAACAACCUUGGGAGCUCCGAAUGAUGUUCCUGCUGUAGAAAGAAGUGAUGGAAAUGGAAAUAGUGCUGAUGAUGGUGUUGAAGGUGACAAAGAUUGUUCUUUUACUGAAAAGGAGAAUACCCAGUUGAAAAAAGUGGGAAAUGAGGAAACCCAAGUUGAAGAUUCUGAAGAAGAUGAAUCAGAUGAAGAACAACAAGAAAAUGGGGUUGAUGAUCCUGAACUUGAACAAAAAAUUCCUUCUCUUGAUGAUGGGUUCUAUGAAGUUGAAGUUAUUCGUCGCAAGAGAAUCCGAAAGGGAAAGCUGGAGUACUUUGUCAAAUGGUUGGGAUGGGAUGAAUCAGCAAACACUUGGGAGCCUCCGGAAAAUUUAGUUGGCGUUCCGGAUGUUAUCGAGGCUUUUGAGGAGAGCUUUAAUUCAGGAAAGCAGCGGAAGCGCAAACGCAAGGAAGUGGUUCAUAGCGCUCCUCUAAAGAAGAGGGUGGAGCGUUCGGCCACUCCUUACAGCCUUAGAUGCUUAAAAACUACUAAGAACAAUUCACAGGCAGCUCAAAACAAUUCACAGUCUGCCCCUCUUGAGGAAAAACCUAUUAUUCCUGCUAUUCCUGACAUUCCUGCAUUUCCUCAGACCGUGCUGUUUGCCGAUGAAGUAGAGAGUGACGGUGAUGGAAGCAAUCUCAAAAGAACUGAUUAUGCUGAUGGUAGUAGGUCUGAAAAUGUUCCACAAGAGGUUCCUCUAAAUAACGAGGAAAAAGAGUAUGAUCCUAAGCUAAGCGAACUAAAAGCGGCAACAACCAAUGGAAAUGGCGCGGACAACCUCGCAAUACCAUUUCAAGAAGCUAUGGUUUCUCCUGAAAAUACUCAAAUGAAUGAUCUGCCGAAUGCGGUUGGUACAGAACCGAUUACUGAAAACAAUGUGGUUGGCACAGAACAAGUUAAAAAUGGCCCCAGCAGGUCAGCAAACAGACGGAGAAAGUCAUUAUCUGUGAAGAGGUUCAUGAAAGAUUCAAGUGCUAGUAAGCUGGAUGAUACACAAAUACCAAAUUCUGCACCGGUUGGUACAGCUGAGCCAGCAAAAACAGGUGUUACUGAUAAUGUGGUGGCUCCUAGUAGUCAUACAAUGCCGGAACCUGUUAAACCUGCAUGUGAUAUUGUCAAGAUUAUAAAGCCGGUAGACUUUAAAGCUGCGGUAGCAAGCCCCGUGCAGGAUGUUUUGGUGACUUUUGAGGCUUUAAGAGAUAAAUAGCGUUUUACACAUCUUGUAAGGUCGGAUGGAUCAGAAGUUACGGUCGAUAAUAAAUAUCUCAAAACAUAUCAUCCGAUCCUACUGAUUGAUUACUAUGAGCAACAUCUGCGCUACACUCCAAAACCAAAACCAGCGUGAUUGAAGAGUUAUAGGAAGGAGCUUCUAGCUAGAUUUUGAUGUGUUCUUAGUUAUUUUGUAGAUGCUGGAGAUAGUUAAGGGUAAUGAAAGCUUUGUUUGUUAGUGAUACAUAGGUAUUAUUUUGAUGACUAUUUAAACUGCGGAAUAGUUUGUGGCUACAUACUGCAAUGAAUGCUGACAGGUGCUGGUUUCUUAGAGUUCGAGAACAAAACUCGCUUUUGGUUUAAUUUUAAAAUUUCUGGAACUUGUUUAUUUAUUUGUCCGCAUUUUGUGCUUGGUUAACA